This 253-nucleotide ribosomal RNA is filed under the name uncultured bacterium. RNAcentral describes it as "partial 16S ribosomal RNA". It matches the Rfam family "Bacterial small subunit ribosomal RNA", at positions 524 to 776 of the family's 1533-position model. The record is from RNAcentral.
UACGGAGGGGGCUAGCGUUGUUCGGAAUUACUGGGCGUAAAGCGCACGUAGGCGGCUUUGCAAGUUAGAGGUGAAAGCCCAGGGCUCAACCCUGGAAUUGCCUUUAAAACUGCAUCGCUAGAAUUGUGGAGAGGUAAGUGGAAUUCCGAGUGUAGAGGUGAAAUUCGUAGAUAUUCGGAAGAACACCAGUGGCGAAGGCGACUUACUGGACACAUAUUGACGCUGAGGUGCGAAAGCGUGGGGAUCAAACAGG